This 450-nucleotide ribosomal RNA is filed under the name uncultured bacterium. RNAcentral describes it as "partial 16S ribosomal RNA". It matches the Rfam family "Bacterial small subunit ribosomal RNA", at positions 354 to 796 of the family's 1533-position model. The record is from RNAcentral.
GUGGGGAAUUUUGGACAAUGGGCGAAAGCCUGAUCCAGCAAUGCCGCGUGCAGGAUGAAGGCCCUCGGGUUGUAAACUGCUUUUGUACGGAACGAAAAGCUCUCUUCUAAUACAGGAGAGUCAUGACGGUACCGUAAGAAUAAGCACCGGCUAACUACGUGCCAGCAGCCGCGGUAAUACGUAGGGUGCAAGCGUUAAUCGGAAUUACUGGGCGUAAAGCGUGCGCAGGCGGUUUUGUAAGACAGUGGUGAAAUCCCCGGGCUCAACCUGGGAACUGCCAUUGUGACUGCAAGGCUAGAGUGCGGCAGAGGGGGAUGGAAUUCCGCGUGUAGCAGUGAAAUGCGUAGAUAUGCGGAGGAACACCGAUGGCGAAGGCAAUCCCCUGGGCCUGCACUGACGCUCAUGCACGAAAGCGUGGGGAGCAAACAGGAUUAGAAACCCUAGUAGUCC